Molecule: ribosomal RNA, 878 nt
Filed under: Mnemiopsis leidyi (sea walnut)
Lineage: Eukaryota; Metazoa; Ctenophora; Tentaculata; Lobata; Bolinopsidae
Description: rRNA rnl
Source: RNAcentral
GUUUAUUAAUUUUAUAAAAAUUUAUGAUUUUUCAUUUAAAUUUAUAAAAUUAAUACAAAUUUUAGUUUUUUGUUAAAAUUUUUUUUAUUUUAAAAAUAUAAAACAUUUAUUAUUUAUAAAUUUUUGUUUCAUAAAUUUUUUUUAAUAAUAAAUUUUUAGAUAAUUUAGUUUAUAUUUAUAUUUUUUUAAAAUUAUUUUUAGAAUUUUAUGUUUUUAUAAUUUUAUUAUGUUUAAAAUUUUAUAUUUUAUUUUAAUUUUAUUAAUAUUUAUAAUUCAAUUUAAUUUUUAUUAUUAUUUAUUAUAUUAAUAACAUUUUUUAUAAUUUUAUUUAAAUUAGUAUUUUUAUUUUUUAUUUAUUAUUUUUUAGUAUUUAUAAACUUAAUUAUUUUAUUAAAAUUUAAUCUAAUAUAUUUUAUAANAAUUUAAGUAAAUGUUUAUAUUUAUUUAUUAUUUGUAUUAUUAUAAUUUAUUAUAUAUACAAUAUUGAAAUCAUUUGUUUUUUAAUUGUUUAAUAUAAAAGAAUAUGUUAAUUAGGUUAAAAUUUAAUUAUUAAGUUAAAGAAUUUUUUUUUUUUAUUAGAUGAUUAGUCCCUUAAAGUUUAAAAAAAUGGGGUUUGUUAAAAUUUAAAUUAAAUAUUUUUAUUAUAUUUAUUUUAUUACUUAAGGGUUAAUGAAAAAAUUUUAUUUUAAUAAUUUUUUUUAUCUCGUUGUUGUAUAAUUUUUUUUUUUUUUUACAAAAAUUUUUAAUAUAUUUAAUCUGUUCGAUUAAUAAAAAAUUUAUUUAUAUGAGUUUAGAACGGUUUAAGUUAGUUCGGUUUCUAUCUAUAUAAUUAAAAUUUUAGUACGUAAGGAAAAAAUUUUUUUAUUUAUGUAUAAGUA